GCGGGAAUGGUGAAAUUGGUAGACACGCCAGAUUUAGGUUCUGGUGCCGUAAGGUGUGAGAGUUCAAGUCUCUCUUCCCGUACCA
Molecule: transfer RNA, 85 nt
Filed under: Shewanella sp. HN-41
Lineage: Bacteria; Pseudomonadati; Pseudomonadota; Gammaproteobacteria; Alteromonadales; Shewanellaceae
Also listed under: 4 other names
Description: tRNA-Leu
Rfam family: tRNA
About the family: Transfer RNA (tRNA) molecules are approximately 80 nucleotides in length. Their secondary structure includes four short double-helical elements and three loops (D, anti-codon, and T loops).
Source: RNAcentral